UACACGAAAGCUCGUAGUUUUGGAAAUAAAACAUCUGAGCUAAGCUCAGUGGUUAAUUAAUUGGGUCCAGAUAUAAUUGUUUUCAUAUA
Molecule: microRNA precursor, 89 nt
Filed under: Schistosoma mansoni
Lineage: Eukaryota; Metazoa; Platyhelminthes; Trematoda; Strigeidida; Schistosomatidae
Description: microRNA sma-mir-8433 precursor
Source: miRBase by way of RNAcentral